AGCGAACGCUGGCGGCAGGCCUAACACAUGCAAGUCGAACGAACCUUUCGGGGUUAGUGGCGGACGGGUGAGUAACACGUGGGAACGUGCCUUUAGGUUCGGAAUAACUCAGGGAAACUUGUGGUAAUACCGAAUGUGCCCUUCGGGGGAAAGAUUUAUCGCCUUUAGAGCGGCCCGCGUCUGAUUAGCUAGUUGGUUGAGGUAAUGGCUCACCAAGGCGACGAUCAGUAGCUGGUCUGAGAGGAUGAUCAGCCACAUUGGGACUGAGACACGGCCCAAACUCCUACGGGAGGCAGCAGUGGGGAAUCUUGCGCAAUGGGCGAAAGCCUGACGCAGCCAUGCCGCGUGAAUGAUGAAGGUCUUAGGAUUGUAAAAUUCUUUCACCGGGGACGAUAAUGACGGUACCCGGAGAAGAAGCCCCGGCUAACUUCGUG
RNAcentral lists this ribosomal RNA (434 nucleotides) under uncultured bacterium. Its description in RNAcentral is "partial 16S ribosomal RNA". It matches the Rfam family "Bacterial small subunit ribosomal RNA", at positions 29 to 507 of the family's 1533-position model. The record is from RNAcentral.